This 439-nucleotide ribosomal RNA is filed under the name uncultured bacterium. Its description in RNAcentral is "bacterial SSU rRNA". It matches the Rfam family "Bacterial small subunit ribosomal RNA", at positions 958 to 1393 of the family's 1533-position model. The record is from RNAcentral.
AACGCGAAGAACCUUACCUGGGCUUGACAUGGGGGUGAAAGGUCGCAGAGAUGUGAUCCCUUCCGCAAGGAACACCCUACACAGGUGCUGCAUGGUUGUCGUCAGCUCGUGUCGUGAGAUGUUAGGUUAAGUCCUGCAACGAGCGCAACCCUCGCCCUUAGUUGCCAUCAGGUAAUGCUGGGAACUCUAAGGGGACCGCCUGGUUUAACCAGGAGGAAGGUGGGGAUGACGUCAAAUCCUCAUGGCCCUUACGUCCAGGGCUAGACACGUGCUACAAUGGUAGAUACAGCGGGAUGCAAGCUGGUGACAGCAAGCCAAUCCCUUAAAAUCUAUCUCAGUCCGGAUUGAAGUCUGCAAUUCGACUUCAUGAUGCUGGAAUCGCUAGUAAUCGCGGAUCAGCAUGCCGCGGUGAAUACGUUCCCGGGUCUUGUACACACGC